Molecule: ribosomal RNA, 525 nt
Filed under: Triticum aestivum (bread wheat)
Lineage: Eukaryota; Viridiplantae; Streptophyta; Magnoliopsida; Poales; Poaceae
Description: partial small subunit ribosomal RNA
Source: RNAcentral
AUGUCCGCAGUCCGGCCGGCGUCUCGCAGCGGCGGUCAGCAGACUCUGACCCCAUCGUCGCCGACCUCCUCUCCGCGCCCGCUCCCCCCGCCUCCUCUCUCUCACCACGCUCUCCCUUGCCGAAGCGCUCCACUCCCUCCUCGCCGCGCGCCCUCCCACGCUCUUACCCCCGCCUCCCUCGGGCUCUUCCUCUCCCACCCCGGGUGCCACCGCCUCCCGCCCACCUCCGCGCGACUCCUCUCCAGGCUUCUUUCGCGCCCCUGCUCAUCCCCCGCCCAGGCAGCCGGAUUCCUCCGCGCCGGUCACCUCUCCGUUCAACGCCCCCUUGGCCGCGCUCGCCCGCGUCCUCGACCUCCUGGCACAACCCAGCUCCUUGCCUCCACGCGCAACGCCGCCGUCCGGCCCGACGUCGCCUGGUAUGGCAUGCUUGCCAACGGGCUCUGCAAAGCCGGCCGCGCUCAGGUCGCUCGAUGGAAUGCCCGGCCCAAACUCGCGCGUUCGCCCGGAUGUUGUCAUUCGUGCUGA